RNAcentral lists this ribosomal RNA (468 nucleotides) under uncultured bacterium. Its description in RNAcentral is "partial 16S ribosomal RNA". It matches the Rfam family "Bacterial small subunit ribosomal RNA", at positions 28 to 507 of the family's 1533-position model. The record is from RNAcentral.
GAUGAACGCUGGCGGCGUGCUUAACACAUGCAAGUCGAACGGAAAGGCCCAAGCUUGCUUGGGUACUCGAGUGGCGAACGGGUGAGUAACACGUGGGUGAUCUGCCCUGCACUUCGGGAUAAGCCUGGGAAACUGGGUCUAAUACCGGAUAGGACGAUGGUUUGGAUGCCAUUGUGGAAAGUUUUUUCGGUGUGGGAUGAGCUCGCGGCCUAUCAGCUUGUUGGUGGGGUAAUGGCCUACCAAGGCGUCGACGGGUAGCCGGCCUGAGAGGGUGUACGGCCACAUUGGGACUGAGAUACGGCCCAGACUCCUACGGGAGGGAGCAGUGGGGAAUAUUGCACAAUGUGCGCAAGCCUUAUGCAGCGACGCCGCGUGGGGGAUGACGGCCUUCGGGUUGUAAACUCCUGUCGCUAGGGACGAAGCGUUUUUGUGACGGUACCUGGAGAAGAAGCACCGGCUAACUACGUG